Molecule: ribosomal RNA, 765 nt
Filed under: Triticum aestivum (bread wheat)
Lineage: Eukaryota; Viridiplantae; Streptophyta; Magnoliopsida; Poales; Poaceae
Description: partial small subunit ribosomal RNA
Source: RNAcentral
AUGGGAGAACACCACCUCCCGCCGGAGCCAGCCGACCACCACAAAGGCGGGAAGGCCAUCCACGCCGAUGACCUGAAGCCCGCCCGCGGCCGCCGCUACAGCUACUACGGCAGCACGGGCUCCCGCGGGGCCCUGAGCACCAUCUGCUCCGUCCUUCUGCUUCUAAUCCUCCUCGCCGGCGUCAUCGCGCUCGUGCUCUACCUCGUGUACCGCCCCAACAGCCCGGCCUUCACCGUCACCAACAUCGCCGUCUACUCGCUCUCCAACGUCACCGGCCCCUCCGCGGGCCUGCCGGCCGCGGGUGCCCGGGCGCCGAACGCCGUGGCGGCGUCGUUCCAGUGCGCCCUCGUCAUCCGCAACCCCAGCGGGCGGUCGUCCGCGCGGUACGACCGGCUGACGGCGUACGUGGUGUACCGCGGGGAGGCCAUCACGGCGCCGGCGGAGAUGCCGCCGCUGGUGCAGGACCCGGACAGCGCGGUGGUGGUGGCGCCCGUGAUCGGGGGCGGCGGGGCGGCCCCUGUGCCCGUGUCGCCGGAGACCGCGGCGGCCCUGGCCAACGACGUGUCCUACGGCGUGGUGUCGCUGCGGGUGGUGCUGCUCGGCCGCGUGCGGUUCGUGUCCGGGCCGUUCCGGACCGGGUGGCGCUCCAUGUACGCGCGCUGCGACCUGCUCGUCGGCGUCCGGAAGGCCCCGGGCAGCGUCGGCGCCGCCGGUGUCCCCGAGGCGCCGCUGUUCGGUAACCCCUCCUGCAACGUCGAUGUGUGA